Molecule: ribosomal RNA, 497 nt
Filed under: uncultured bacterium
Lineage: Bacteria
Description: partial 16S ribosomal RNA
Rfam family: Bacterial small subunit ribosomal RNA
Source: RNAcentral
GAUGAACGCUGGCGGCGUGCCUAAUACAUGCAAGUCGAGCGAACAGACGAGGAGCUUGCUCCGCUGACGUUAGCGGCGGACGGGUGAGUAACACGUGGAUAACCUACCUAUAAGACUGGGAUAACUUCGGGAAACCGGAUCUAAUACCGGAGAAUAUAUUGAACCGCAUGGUUCAAUAGUGAAAGACGGUUUUGCUGUCACUUAUAGAUGGAUCCGCGCCGCAUUAGCUAGUUGGUAAGGUAACGGCUUACCAAGGCGACGAUGCGUAGCCGACCUGAGAGGGUGAUCGGCCACACUGGAAGUGAGACACGGUCCAGACUCCUACGGGAGGCAGCAGUAGGGAAUCUGGCGCAAUGGGCGAGAGCCUGACGGAGCAACGCCGCGUGAGUGAUGAAGGUCUUCGGAUCGUAAAGCUCUGUUAUUGGGGAAGAACAAAUGUGUAAGUAACUAUGCACGUCUUGACGGUACCUAAUCAGAAAGCCACGGCUAACUACGUG